Molecule: non-coding RNA, 88 nt
Organism: Avibacterium paragallinarum JF4211
Lineage: Bacteria; Pseudomonadati; Pseudomonadota; Gammaproteobacteria; Pasteurellales; Pasteurellaceae
Source: Rfam
GUCAAUGAUGGACUGAUUAAGGGGAUCGAAAGAUCCACCGUUUACCUAGUACAGCGGCACUGCAAACCUUGAUCAGUUCAUCACCAGU